This 2904-nucleotide ribosomal RNA is filed under the name Escherichia coli. RNAcentral's name for it is "23S ribosomal RNA". It matches the Rfam family "Bacterial large subunit ribosomal RNA". Lineage: Bacteria; Pseudomonadati; Pseudomonadota; Gammaproteobacteria; Enterobacterales; Enterobacteriaceae. The record is from RNAcentral.
GGUUAAGCGACUAAGCGUACACGGUGGAUGCCCUGGCAGUCAGAGGCGAUGAAGGACGUGCUAAUCUGCGAUAAGCGUCGGUAAGGUGAUAUGAACCGUUAUAACCGGCGAUUUCCGAAUGGGGAAACCCAGUGUGUUUCGACACACUAUCAUUAACUGAAUCCAUAGGUUAAUGAGGCGAACCGGGGGAACUGAAACAUCUAAGUACCCCGAGGAAAAGAAAUCAACCGAGAUUCCCCCAGUAGCGGCGAGCGAACGGGGAGGAGCCCAGAGCCUGAAUCAGUGUGUGUGUUAGUGGAAGCGUCUGGAAAGGCGCGCGAUACAGGGUGACAGCCCCGUACACAAAAAUGCACAUGCUGUGAGCUCGAUGAGUAGGGCGGGACACGUGGUAUCCUGUCUGAAUAUGGGGGGACCAUCCUCCAAGGCUAAAUACUCCUGACUGACCGAUAGUGAACCAGUACCGUGAGGGAAAGGCGAAAAGAACCCCGGCGAGGGGAGUGAAAAAGAACCUGAAACCGUGUACGUACAAGCAGUGGGAGCACGCUUCGGCGUGUGACUGCGUACCUUUUGUAUAAUGGGUCAGCGACUUAUAUUCUGUAGCAAGGUUAACCGAAUAGGGGAGCCGAAGGGAAACCGAGUCUUAACUGGGCGUUAAGUUGCAGGGUAUAGACCCGAAACCCGGUGAUCUAGCCAUGGGCAGGUUGAAGGUUGGGUAACACUAACUGGAGGACCGAACCGACUAAUGUUGAAAAAUUAGCGGAUGACUUGUGGCUGGGGGUGAAAGGCCAAUCAAACCGGGAGAUAGCUGGUUCUCCCCGAAAGCUAUUUAGGUAGCGCCUCGUGAAUUCAUCUCCGGGGGUAGAGCACUGUUUCGGCAAGGGGGUCAUCCCGACUUACCAACCCGAUGCAAACUGCGAAUACCGGAGAAUGUUAUCACGGGAGACACACGGCGGGUGCUAACGUCCGUCGUGAAGAGGGAAACAACCCAGACCGCCAGCUAAGGUCCCAAAGUCAUGGUUAAGUGGGAAACGAUGUGGGAAGGCCCAGACAGCCAGGAUGUUGGCUUAGAAGCAGCCAUCAUUUAAAGAAAGCGUAAUAGCUCACUGGUCGAGUCGGCCUGCGCGGAAGAUGUAACGGGGCUAAACCAUGCACCGAAGCUGCGGCAGCGACGCUUAUGCGUUGUUGGGUAGGGGAGCGUUCUGUAAGCCUGUGAAGGUGUGCUGUGAGGCAUGCUGGAGGUAUCAGAAGUGCGAAUGCUGACAUAAGUAACGAUAAAGCGGGUGAAAAGCCCGCUCGCCGGAAGACCAAGGGUUCCUGUCCAACGUUAAUCGGGGCAGGGUGAGUCGACCCCUAAGGCGAGGCCGAAAGGCGUAGUCGAUGGGAAACAGGUUAAUAUUCCUGUACUUGGUGUUACUGCGAAGGGGGGACGGAGAAGGCUAUGUUGGCCGGGCGACGGUUGUCCCGGUUUAAGCGUGUAGGCUGGUUUUCCAGGCAAAUCCGGAAAAUCAAGGCUGAGGCGUGAUGACGAGGCACUACGGUGCUGAAGCAACAAAUGCCCUGCUUCCAGGAAAAGCCUCUAAGCAUCAGGUAACAUCAAAUCGUACCCCAAACCGACACAGGUGGUCAGGUAGAGAAUACCAAGGCGCUUGAGAGAACUCGGGUGAAGGAACUAGGCAAAAUGGUGCCGUAACUUCGGGAGAAGGCACGCUGAUAUGUAGGUGAAGCGACUUGCUCGUGGAGCUGAAAUCAGUCGAAGAUACCAGCUGGCUGCAACUGUUUAUUAAAAACACAGCACUGUGCAAACACGAAAGUGGACGUAUACGGUGUGACGCCUGCCCGGUGCCGGAAGGUUAAUUGAUGGGGUUAGCGCAAGCGAAGCUCUUGAUCGAAGCCCCGGUAAACGGCGGCCGUAACUAUAACGGUCCUAAGGUAGCGAAAUUCCUUGUCGGGUAAGUUCCGACCUGCACGAAUGGCGUAAUGAUGGCCAGGCUGUCUCCACCCGAGACUCAGUGAAAUUGAACUCGCUGUGAAGAUGCAGUGUACCCGCGGCAAGACGGAAAGACCCCGUGAACCUUUACUAUAGCUUGACACUGAACAUUGAGCCUUGAUGUGUAGGAUAGGUGGGAGGCUUUGAAGUGUGGACGCCAGUCUGCAUGGAGCCGACCUUGAAAUACCACCCUUUAAUGUUUGAUGUUCUAACGUGGACCCGUGAUCCGGGUUGCGGACAGUGUCUGGUGGGUAGUUUGACUGGGGCGGUCUCCUCCUAAAGAGUAACGGAGGAGCACGAAGGUUGGCUAAUCCUGGUCGGACAUCAGGAGGUUAGUGCAAUGGCAUAAGCCAGCUUGACUGCGAGCGUGACGGCGCGAGCAGGUGCGAAAGCAGGUCAUAGUGAUCCGGUGGUUCUGAAUGGAAGGGCCAUCGCUCAACGGAUAAAAGGUACUCCGGGGAUAACAGGCUGAUACCGCCCAAGAGUUCAUAUCGACGGCGGUGUUUGGCACCUCGAUGUCGGCUCAUCACAUCCUGGGGCUGAAGUAGGUCCCAAGGGUAUGGCUGUUCGCCAUUUAAAGUGGUACGCGAGCUGGGUUUAGAACGUCGUGAGACAGUUCGGUCCCUAUCUGCCGUGGGCGCUGGAGAACUGAGGGGGGCUGCUCCUAGUACGAGAGGACCGGAGUGGACGCAUCACUGGUGUUCGGGUUGUCAUGCCAAUGGCACUGCCCGGUAGCUAAAUGCGGAAGAGAUAAGUGCUGAAAGCAUCUAAGCACGAAACUUGCCCCGAGAUGAGUUCUCCCUGACUCCUUGAGAGUCCUGAAGGAACGUUGAAGACGACGACGUUGAUAGGCCGGGUGUGUAAGCGCAGCGAUGCGUUGAGCUAACCGGUACUAAUGAACCGUGAGGCUUAACCUU